Molecule: non-coding RNA, 116 nt
Organism: Tephrocybe rancida
Lineage: Eukaryota; Fungi; Basidiomycota; Agaricomycetes; Agaricales; Lyophyllaceae
Source: the annotation of a GenBank genome assembly
GGUGAGAUGGCCGAGCGGUCUAAGGCGCCAGACUAAGGAUCAAAGUAGCUGCUACUUUCGGUGUUAAAACUGUAAUCUGGUCCUCAGGGGCGUGGGUUCAAAUCCCACUCUCAUCA